UCCCUUGUGGCUCAGCUGGUAAAGAAUCUGCCUGCAAUGCAGAAGACCUGGGUUCGAUCCCUGGGUUGGGAA
Molecule: transfer RNA, 72 nt
Filed under: Odocoileus virginianus texanus
Lineage: Eukaryota; Metazoa; Chordata; Mammalia; Artiodactyla; Cervidae
Also listed under: 8 other names
Rfam family: tRNA
About the family: Transfer RNA (tRNA) molecules are approximately 80 nucleotides in length.
Source: Rfam by way of RNAcentral